UUUCUUUCUUCUUUUCUCUAUACGUUGGUGUUCUACCCAAUAAUCACCGAUGCGAUGCUCUGUCCGAUCGAUUCAUGAACCAUCCAACGAAUACCGAAGUGCUGUGAAUUUCGUUAAACGGAUGCCAAAGUAUUAUACUUUGAGAGUUCGUUAAAUGGAUGCCAAAGUACUAUACUUUGUGAUUUCGGUAAACGGAAUCCAAAAUGUUACACUUUGUGAAAUUCGUUAAGGUUCGAAUCUCGUGACUACCGUUAAGGUUUGAUUUGGGUUUUACACAAAUACGUAUUCCAUUCUGUUAAACUAUAUGUUUAACUACCAAAAAAAUACCCCCAACUACACACUCACAAUCAAACAAACUAUUAAAUCAUCAGAAGAUCCAGAAUAAUAAAGUGCAUGCUUAAUUAUCGGAAGAAGUAGAAUCAAGAAGCUUGUUAACUCAAUCUUGCAUGCUUAUAAAGUGAGUCAUUCUCUUUUUAUCAACUAUUUUACAAAACUCCAAAUUAUUUUCAAAAUUAUAAUUACAGGGAUUAAGUCUUUGUAAUCACCAUAUUACAGCCGGUAUGUGGGGUUUUGUAUACAUUACUUGAUAACCGUCACUAUUGGACAACGAGUUAGCCAAUGAGUGAUAUGACCAUAGUCACAGACACCAUCGGGCAAAGAGGCUACCGAUGGAUGUUCGAGUGACAAGUACUGUGGGUAGUUGGUUUGAUAUCAGAAACAUUGUAAUCGCUCUAAUACUGUAAAUUAUAACAAAGUUGUAAUUGCAGUGAUUGAGUCUUUGCCAAUCUUAAAGAAGCAAAUGUAAAAACUCUCAAUGCUGUAAAUUAUAACACAUCUGUUUUUAUAAAACUUGAAUGAACUCACUCAGUAUUUCCCGCUGACAAAACCUUUUUAAAACACGUUUCAGGUAAUUACAGUAGAUUGGCGUAAGGAUUGGAUCCGGCACUGAAAGGACUUCAAGAAGUGGCUUAUUUUAUUAAUUAAAUCAAAUUAAGAAUUAUUGUUUUUAUUAAAAGCUACCUUUGUAAAACAUGGAAUUUAUUCCAUCUAUUUAAAUAAAAUCCGGUGUUUCUAAACUCUGAUAUUUUCCUAACUCACGGUCCUGAUGAAAUUUCCGCUGCAAUGUUUUUCAAAAUAACGACCGGUACCACUGGACUGCUCACGGCACCGAUUCCGGCCAGAUGGGGUCGGGGGACGUGACAGUAGAAUAGGGAAUAACCUUCCGAGGUUAUACCUUAUGGUCACCAAGUUUAGGUAGUUGUAUGAUAACUAGUUUAUAUGCCUUAGGUAAAUUACCAAAAUACCCUUUUCAUGCAUAAUUGGUAAUUAAGCAUAUGUAACCCAAACUUUUGUCACAUAGCUGAUUAUGCAACUUAUUUAAACAUGUUUUGGCAUAUAAUACUUGUCAUAGGACUAGUUAGCGUCUCCAAUGCGAAUUGCGCGCACGACGCGUUAAAGUAGUGUAAGCUACCUUAAUGAGUCACAAUGGGUCGAAAGCACUUAGGUUAAGUUUCAAUUUAGGAUGUAGGCUUUGUUAAACCAUAUCACAUGAGUUCCAACACUCAUUUGGUUUACAAGACCUCAUUCUGUCCGAUCGUCCGCUUUAGGCGUCUAUUGUGCUACUUGAUUUAUCUGGGUUACUUGAGUUUGCUUGAGUCCUAUUGAUUGAGGAUACUUUGCACUUCAUGUGAGUACAUAGUUCCCCUCUUUUACUGUUUUCAACUGUUUUGGGGUGAUUCAUAUGUACGAAAUGGUUUUCAAAGUUUAAACGAUGGUUUUUCAAAAACAAUUAAGAUGGUUUAUACAAAACUAAUAACGAUUUCAAUAAAGUGAACAAAACUUAUUGGUUGUAAUUACAUAACAAAUGACAUUCAUUAAUUUUGGCCGAACCGACCAGUAUUAGGUUAUGGUACCAUAGGAUCUGACAAAUCCCGUUAUUUUACUGCACCCAUGGUUAUGUGUGGGGGUUGUGGGUAACGACUGAAUCUGAUGUUGGUUAACUUACCCUUUGGUGGUUUGUUAACUCGAGAAGCGAGAAGCGAGGUGGUCUAGUCACAAAGGUUUGAAUGUUGUUAGCGGGACGACCAUAUAUAAGUUUCACAAUUAAAACGAGGAUGAUUUAAACGAUCUUAAACGAGUUAACGAUUUUUGAAACGAUUUGAACAAGUUAAACAAAUUGGAUAAACGAUUGGUUUUUGGUUAGUGAUUAGAUAACGGGAUGGGUGUAAUGUGAUGAAAGCAUGGUGGAUACGCCGCUGGUACUUCCUAUAUAUAAGUGUUUUCAUCUUAUUACAUAUCGUGGCGUUAUUUAGUUCACUUGGGUAAACGAUUUUGAAAUGAUGUCACACAAACGAUGUUUUCUAAAAGAUAUAAACCAUACGAGUUUUAACGAGUUUUACAAGAUAUUUUACAAGUUGGUUUUCUAAAACCAAUGUUUUUGGGGUUCAGAAUCAUGGCUACGAGAUUUUAUAAACUAUAACCAUCUUGAUUUGAGUUGGUUAAUUAUGUUGCAAUACAUUUUUCAAAAACAAGGUUUGUAUUUUGACUCUUGAAGUCUACUAAAGUAAUGAAACAUGUAAACGAAGCCAUAAUUCCGAUACCCUUAUAAAACCUAUGUACUCGCCAGCAUUUCUUUUCUGACUUUGUUUUUACAUAUGUUUCAGGUGUUGUUACUUGAAGUGAUUUCUAGGAUGCAUGCGUCACAUAGAAUCUGGACAAGGCCUUAGUGACAUAAUAACAAUGAUAGUCGAUAUUUAACUUGUUUUUUUUUUUUUUUUUGUUGUGUCAAGACAAUGUAAUGUUUAAUAUUAUCAAUAAAACGAAACUAUUU
RNAcentral lists this long non-coding RNA (2830 nucleotides) under Helianthus annuus (common sunflower). RNAcentral's name for it is "hypothetical non coding rna". Lineage: Eukaryota; Viridiplantae; Streptophyta; Magnoliopsida; Asterales; Asteraceae. The record is from RNAcentral.